AAUGUAAUGAUCUUUACUACUUCUCAAUUUUUUUUUUCAAGUUUGUGACAGCAGCCUUGAAUGAGGCUUGGGAGCAAGAGAUCUACAUUAUUUACGGAUGCAAGAUCUAUAUUACAGAGUAACUUGUUGUGGUGGUCGCAAAUUCUGUGUAUAGGAGCCCGUUUGCUUGGGUUGGAACACUUGGAACGCGUAAUCAAUAAGCUAAAUAAGUGUUUGGACCUGCUCAACUUCUGCGGAGUGCAGACUGCGGCUAGGGCUACGAGGGGCUGCGGACAGUCUACAAUACAAUACAAUCGAUGUUACGCGCUCAUUUUAAAACGACUUGCUCAAAUGAUAUGAAACAGGCAUAGAUAUUCAAAUGACUCAAAAAAGGAUCACACAUUCGAAAAGAAAGGUGAAAAACGAAGACCUUGCGCAUGGUGUUACAAAAGGCUUCGGUCUACGUUCAAAAGUAGGGAGGCUUGCAACAAAGUUCCCAAAACCAAGUCCUACUGCGUAGAAUGCGAUAAAGGGUACUGCCUCAGGUGUUUCUGUGAGAGUCACUCAAUCACACAAUUUAUCUUGUAAUACAUUCAAGUUAAAUGUA
This is a long non-coding RNA of Cydia pomonella (codling moth), 586 nucleotides long. RefSeq lists it as uncharacterized. NCBI's taxonomy places the organism in Eukaryota, Metazoa, Arthropoda, Insecta, Lepidoptera, Tortricidae. The record is from RefSeq and is a predicted model, not a curated record. The transcript has 2 exons.